CCAACCUGUCAUUGACUUCAUGUUCAUUCUGGCAAGAGCUAAGAGAGAUACUAUUGAGUAUUUUAACACAGACUUCACUUGCUUGGGUGAACUGUAGACAGAAUCCAUCUUUAAUGACCUAUUUCUGUUACUGAACUGAACUGGUGUCUGCUCUCCUGUGGGGUGAGGCCAAACAUCCACACCGUGGUUUGCAGCAGGGGAAAGCAAGGUGUUUAUUUGCAGGAUGCCAAGGAAAGAGAAUUGGGCAGCUUACAAUUGAGACCUGACCUCUCGGUGGCUUACAGGUUCUCUCUGCAGCUCUAGCACCUGGCAUCCUCAGACAUCUUCUUAAUACUCACGCAAGUUCUACAGAUGAGAAAAUGAGGCUUCAAAAGAUGAAGACCACACGAUGACUGAAUGGAUGGUGCUGAGUUAUAAUAGCAGUAUCUGUCAUGUAUGGGUUGCUUCCUAUGGGAUAAGCACAAUGAUGCCAUUUCAUUUUAUCCACUCAAUGGCAUACACUGGGAUAGCAUAACAAUAGAACACAUGGGACUCUGAAUUCUGCAGGCUAGGUUUAAUUCUGUUUCUGCUACAUAAUAGCAAAAGAGUUCAUCUUGAUUCUGCUACAUAAUAGCAAAACAGUUCAUCUUGAUUCUGCUACAUAAUAGCAAAACAGUUCAUCUUGCUUUAAGUCAUAAGUCACGGCUCCGAAAAGGACACCCCAAGUAUGGCCUUGACCUGCUGAGGACUUUGAACUAAAGGGCAUUGGAAAGCCUCAGAAGCAGCCUCAGAACCAAGUCUCUGACCUUCUCCUGCCCUCCUGUCUCUCGCCCCUCAUUCCCCCAAGAAGUGAGUCAUAGAAACCAGAAAUCCUCUUCCCUAAAGCAGGUCACGGAAACUAGAAUCUCUUUCCCCAAAGCCAGCCAUUAGAAACUAGAAUCACUACUGGAACUUUCCCUGCCUUUCUGAGUAAGAGCUGGCCAUAAAGAAGUUCUCUGACUUACUUUCCUGAAAGUAGGUUAUAAGACCCUCAUUCCAGAAGGGGCCCUGCCCUACACGCAGGAAGAAGGAACGCCACACAGGGAGGCCAAGAGGAACCCAGACAGGCCCAGCUGGGUCCCCCUCUGUCUGUCACUGUCCCAUCGCUCCCUCUGUGUCCAGUCACAGCUCCGCAGGGCUACCACUCUUCAUCAAAUCUAAGCAUAGAAAUGGGCAGUUUUCCCUUGGUUCUUUGGGUCUUCAUUUCCUAAGGCUCCCAUGUUAUGUAAAACUUUGAUUAAACAAAUCUGUGUGCUUUUCUCUUGUUAACCUGUCUUUUGUUACAGGAGAAUCGGCAGUGGCCCCUUAGCAUGGUGGCACACGUCUGUAAUCCCAGGUACUUGGGAGGCUGAGGCACGAGAAUCACUAGAACCUAGAAGGAGGAUGUUGCAGUGAGCUGAGAUUGCACCACUGCACUCCAGCCUGGGCAACAGAGCAAGACUCCCAUCUCAAAAAAAAAAUUAAAUUAAA
Molecule: long non-coding RNA, 1488 nt
Filed under: Homo sapiens (human)
Lineage: Eukaryota; Metazoa; Chordata; Mammalia; Primates; Hominidae
Description: non-protein coding lnc-SORBS2-2:1
Source: RNAcentral